Gossypium hirsutum (cotton) is the source of this 142-nucleotide non-coding RNA. NCBI's taxonomy places the organism in Eukaryota, Viridiplantae, Streptophyta, Magnoliopsida, Malvales, Malvaceae. The record is from Rfam.
UGUUGAAAAAUUUGAUCUCUUUAUACGGUUAAAAAUUAGCGUGAUUGACAGAAUAACCAAACAAUGACAUGUGUGCCACAUGUGCCUCAUGCUAAUGCAUAGGGUUAGUUUUUAACAGUAAAAAUAGAUGAAAUUUUUAACA